GUUUCACAAAUCACAAACAUGGUUUUACAUAUUCUGCUAAUAGAGCAGAAUAAUCCAGUGCAGGUUUGAAGAGUCUAGAAGUUGUAGUUUUUUAACUAGAGUAGAUUAAAGAUGCGCAAGGUAGUGAAAAAUUAGGUGGAAUCGCCCUUUAGCCAUUGCCCGAAUCGGAAUCUAACUUCAGCUUCGUUGCUGUUGCUGCUACCUUUCAUUCAUUUGGGGUAAUGUUAGCGUGGUAGUAGCUGUUAGCGUAAGCAGAAGCCGGCUUUUCCUUACACAGUUCAGCGUUGACAUGACUCCGGUAGAUUUCCUUCUUCCAAACUAAGAAGAGACAGCUUUGCGUCGACAACUGAGCUGCUUGUAAAGCCUUUGUGUCCAGGAUAAGCUCGAUUUUCCGACAACGGUCAUGGAUUAUGAACACAAAGCUAAAGUGGUAGCAGACUGCUUGCUGAGCUACAGGAGAGACGAAUCUGGGUGGAAGGUCUGCAGAAAAUCGAAUGAUGUGGUUGUUUCUUGGCGUCCCUCGUCUGAGUUCCCUGGGAAUGUGUAAGCACUCUUUUUAUUUUUCUCUAUUUUUAGAGUCCUUAAUCAGGUUUCUGAAACGUGUUCCUAGGCAACAUUUGGCAUGCUUCUUGUAAUGAAAAUUAGUUUUUUAUUGUGAUAUAACAUUCUCCCAAAUAUUUUCAUGUGAGUUCAAUUUAUUACUUGUCCAUCACAUGUUUACAUGAACAAACCUUAGAAUCAGAGUUUGUGGUUAAGUUAACUUGGGUAUCUGUCUGUCUAAUAUAGCUAUGCUAUAGGUUCAGCAUAUCUAUGAACCUCAGCUAUCUGUUGAGGUUCAUAGCUGGUGAGGCACUGACUUAAUCAUAAUCGGAUUUAUAAAUAUAGACCCCCUGCAUGUUGUUGUAACGCUGGAGCCCACAAAUCCAGUGCAUUGUCAUUCAUAGCCGCGCUGCUGUAGUAGAAUAAUUCUGUUAACUCAAUAAAACUUGGAAUUGUAGGUAUUAUUAAUUUAGUGCUGUGCUCCACAGCAAAGGGAAAAACCAUUUAAGUACAACUGAAAACCAUUUCUUUCUCUCUCUCUGUGUCACCAAGCUACUGACAACGCCACUUAAUGUUUCAUACUUACGCAACAGGCUGAAUGUCCUGGGGCCUCAUGCAUAAAAGACUGCGCAGUUUUCACACUAAAACUUAGCGUAUGGAAAAUUUUUGAAAAGUGCGGCGCACAAAAAUAUUUAGAUGUAUUGUAAUGAGGUCCAACACACCGCAGAUGUAAUCCCGCCAACAGAGUUUAUUAGAAUAAGUACGAGCUGCCAUUCCUGAAGCUGCAGCUCACGCCUCUAACAAACCGUUGCACUCUACUGAAUAACUUCACUGCUAACACACUGAACUCCCUCCUCUUCCAGUCCUGGUCCUGAUCAGGGAGUCAGCAGAGUGAGACAGGGGAAGCCCAUAAAACUCUACACAUAACAAUAAAGAUUACAAUGCAACUUAUAACAAAUAUACACAUAACCAUAUGGACCCCAGCAGAAGUAAAACAAAGAAUCGUUACAGUAUUAAGCCGUGGUCGUGCAUCUUUCCUUUAUGAAUCCCAAUUUGUGGGAAAUAGAGAACAGCUGCUGGUCCGCCCUGUCGCCACCCAUAAAUACAUAUGUAAAUUAGUAUAAAUACCUGGAAGUUUGCUACCAAGCAGUAACCAUGGCAACGUCCUUGUUUGUAGCAGUAUAAGUAUUUAUAAUGAUAAUUAUAUAUUUUAUUUAAAAGCUGCUUUCAGGGCUCAUAAAGCUCACAAAAAUAAAAACAAUACAUUUUAAAGAGAGAAAAUCCAAA
Long non-coding RNA from Poecilia latipinna (sailfin molly), 1827 nucleotides. RefSeq lists it as uncharacterized. NCBI's taxonomy places the organism in Eukaryota, Metazoa, Chordata, Actinopteri, Cyprinodontiformes, Poeciliidae. The record is from RefSeq and is a predicted model, not a curated record. The transcript has 2 exons.